UACGUAGGGUGCAAGCGUUAAUCGGAAUUACUGGGCGUAAAGCGUGCGCAGGCGGUUUUGUAAGUCUGACGUGAAAGCCCCGGGCUUAACCUGGGAAUUGCGUUGGAGACUGCAAGGCUUGAAUCUGGCAGAGGGGGGUAGAAUUCCACGUGUAGCAGUGAAAUGCGUAGAGAUGUGGAGGAACACCGAUGGCGAAGGCAGCCCCCUGGGUCAAGAUUGACGCUCGAUGCACGAAAGCGUGGGGAGCAAACAGG
RNAcentral lists this ribosomal RNA (254 nucleotides) under uncultured bacterium. RNAcentral's name for it is "partial 16S ribosomal RNA". It matches the Rfam family "Bacterial small subunit ribosomal RNA", at positions 524 to 776 of the family's 1533-position model. The record is from RNAcentral.